CAGUCGCCGCGGGAAUACGAGGGGAGCUAGCGUUGUUCGGAAUUACUGGGCGUAAAGCGCGCGUAGGCGGCUUUUUAAGUCAGAGGUGAAAGCCCGGGGCUCAACCCCGGAAUUGCCUUUGAAACUGGAAAGCUAGAAUCUUGGAGAGGUCAGUGGAAUUCCGAGUGUAGAGGUGAAAUUCGUAGAUAUUCGGAAGAACACCAGUGGCGAAGGCGACUGACUGGACAAGUAUUGACGCUGAGGUGCGAAAGCGUGGGGAGCAAACAGGAUUAGAUACCCGCGUAGUCCCUGUCUCUUAUAC
RNAcentral lists this ribosomal RNA (301 nucleotides) under uncultured bacterium. RNAcentral describes it as "partial 16S ribosomal RNA". It matches the Rfam family "Bacterial small subunit ribosomal RNA", at positions 509 to 807 of the family's 1533-position model. The record is from RNAcentral.